UUGGGUCUUGAGGUUUGGUCCUGCCAGGGCCAACGCUGCCAGCAGCGACGUUUGUCCGCCGCUUUUUAUCUGACGUAUGUGCACUUACGUUGACCGCUGUUGGGUAUUGUGUGGUGGAUGUUCUCUGGCUGUGUCGCGUGCAACAAGAACAGUAGAAGAGUUUCUGAACUCCGGUCGCCUCGGCAGUGGGCCAUUGGCCAGCAAAGUUGCGUGUUCCUAAACCCAUAGUUCAUACCGUGUCGUCUGGCAUGGACGUAGACCACUGUUGGGUACUGUGUCGCGUACAGCAAGAACCCUGUCCGCCCCGGCAGUGGGCCAUUGGCCAGCAAAGGCACACAGCGAUCGGACUGAGCAUAUCAAGUAGCCCCUCCUGUGACCCACAAGACCACACUCAUUCGGCCGAGGAGCCUGUCUGGACUUACGUUGAGAGUGCUGGCAGACAGUUUGUUUUUUCUGGACUUAUGUUGGGACUGCUGGUGGACAGUUUCGGUUUUAGUCUUCAGCUGGUGCACAGUUCACUUUUAUCAC
Molecule: long non-coding RNA, 528 nt
Organism: Rhipicephalus sanguineus (brown dog tick)
Lineage: Eukaryota; Metazoa; Arthropoda; Arachnida; Ixodida; Ixodidae
Exons: 3
Source: RefSeq, a predicted model, not a curated record